RNAcentral lists this long non-coding RNA (1023 nucleotides) under Homo sapiens (human). RNAcentral's name for it is "HSALNT0303678". The record is from RNAcentral. Lineage: Eukaryota; Metazoa; Chordata; Mammalia; Primates; Hominidae.
CACACUCGUUGGGGCCUGGGGCUGCGAGGCCGCUGCCUCCCCAGCAGAGCAAUACAAGCAGCUGAGCGUCAGAGAUACAAGCAGCUGAGCGUCAGGGACACAAGAAGCUGGGCAUUGAGGAUACAAGCAGCUGAGCAUCAGGGAUACAAAUGGCUGAGCAGAGAAGCAACUGAGCAUCUAAGACUACAGACAGAUGUGGCUAACUUCAGACAGUGCAGCUUCAGGCAAAGAUCUUCUUCUCGCACCAUCCCCUUUCCAACUCCCCAUUCUGCUGACAGCCACUUCCACUUCCAUCACACAAUAAAAUCCUCUGCAUACGCCAACCUUCAAUUCAUUCGUGUGACGAUUCUUCCUAGACACUGGACAAGAACCCAAAUGCCAAGAGGACAAGGGCUGGGACACUCCUACAGGGCCCUGCACAGAGCCGGCUCCCGCCAGAGAGGAGCAACCGGCCAGUUCCAGCAUUAGUUCACUUUGGUUCCUGCACUCUUCUUGCUCACAUGCUCCCUCUCAUGAGGAGUGGCCAGUGGCAGGCUGAAUGAAAUGUGCUACUCCAGUUCCCUCCCACAAGGUCAAGGAAAAAAUUCCAGCUCAACAGUUUCUGACUGGUUAAGCUUAAGCUUUGUUUUCCUGCAAUAUGGCUGUUCACACUGAGUUAGGUUUCAGUUUGGCCGUAUAGAAACCCGAGACAGUGGAGCCAUCUCAGCCUAAUGGCCUCCCAAUUAUUUAUUUUAACAGGGCAUCAUUUUAUCUAUAUUUGUGCAUGAAUAUAUAUGUGUACAUAAAUGUAUACAUAUACAGACACAUAUUUGGAAGGUUAAUGAUUAAAUACAUCAUAGGGAAAAUAGAGGGCAUACUAGGGUAACAAAAAAGAAAAAAAAAAUCACCAGACUCUUUAAAAGGAAAAAAUAAAGAGACAAAAAUAAAGUAUCAUAAGUUUGUCCAUGGAAAUCCUGGGAUGCAGGAAUUACUUAAGCACUUAAAAACUAAUUACAAGGGGAAAGCAUGUUUAGAAAAAGAAAA